RNAcentral lists this ribosomal RNA (497 nucleotides) under uncultured bacterium. RNAcentral describes it as "partial 16S ribosomal RNA". It matches the Rfam family "Bacterial small subunit ribosomal RNA", at positions 28 to 507 of the family's 1533-position model. The record is from RNAcentral.
GAUGAACGCUGGCGGCGUGCCUAAUACAUGCAAGUCGAGCGAACAGAUGAGGAGCUUGCUCCUCUGACGUUAGCGGCGGACGGGUGAGUAACACGUGGAUAACCUACCUAUAAGACUGGGAUAACUUCGGGAAACCGGAGCUAAUACCGGAUAAUAUAUUGAACCGCAUGGUUCAAUAGUGAAAGACGGUUUUGCUGUCACUUGUAGAUGGAUCCGCGCCGCAUUAGCUAGUUGGUAAGGUAAAGGCUUACCAAGGCAACGAUGCGUAGCCGACCUGAGAGGGUGAUCGGCCACCCUGGAGAUGAGACACGGUCCAGACUCCUACGGGAGGCAGCAGUAGGGAAUCUUCCGCAAUGGGCGAAAGCCUGACGGAGCAACGCCGCGUGAGUGAUGAAGGUCUUCGGAUCGUAAAACUCUGUUAUUAGGGAAGAACAAAUGUGUAAGUAACUAUGCACGUCUUGACGGUACCUAAUCAGAAAGCCACGGCUAACUACGUG